GGUUGGAAGAUGGAGCUCCUUUUCAGGCUAAAACAAGAAAGAUAAUAGAAGGGGAUUAGCAGCUGCUGGUUUAUGGAUGCCUUUUGGGUUUGAGCAUCUGUGUAUAUAUUAAAUUAAUAAGCAGCUUGCCGGUCAAAUUAAAGGGUUUGCAUGAACUAGGAGAUGAUAUUUUUCCCCUCCUUUUAUUUCGUUUGAAGGGAGCUCUAAUGUUUUCUAAU
RNAcentral lists this microRNA precursor (218 nucleotides) under Macleaya cordata. RNAcentral describes it as "MIR159 microRNA precursor family". It matches the Rfam family "MIR159 microRNA precursor family". Lineage: Eukaryota; Viridiplantae; Streptophyta; Magnoliopsida; Ranunculales; Papaveraceae. The record is from Rfam by way of RNAcentral.